GACGAACGCUGGCGGCGUGCUUAACACAUGCAAGUCGAACGGAAAGGCCCUGCUUUUGUGGGGUGCUCGAGUGGCGAACGGGUGAGUAACACGUGAGUAACCUGCCCUUGACUUUGGGAUAACUUCAGGAAACUGGGGCUAAUACCGGAUAGGAGCUCCUGCUGCAUGGUGGGGGUUGGAAAGUUUCGGCGGUUGGGGAUGGACUCGCGGCUUAUCAGCUUGUUGGUGGGGUAGUGGCUGACCAAGGCUUUGACGGGUAGCCGGCCUGAGAGGGGGGCCGGCGACGUGGGGGCGGAGGGAGGGCGCAGCCGCCGCCGGGGGGAGGAGGGGGGAAGUAUGCAAGAGGGGGGGGAAGCGGGAGAAGGAAGCCCGGGGGGGGGAAGGAGGGCUUGGGGGUUAAAACACGCUGUCGCCGGUGACAAAGCGGGGGGGAGGGUAAUGGGUAAAGAAGCACGGGCUAACUGCGUG
RNAcentral lists this ribosomal RNA (468 nucleotides) under uncultured bacterium. Its description in RNAcentral is "partial 16S ribosomal RNA". It matches the Rfam family "Bacterial small subunit ribosomal RNA", at positions 28 to 507 of the family's 1533-position model. The record is from RNAcentral.